Molecule: RNA transcript, 2822 nt
Organism: Balaenoptera musculus (blue whale)
Lineage: Eukaryota; Metazoa; Chordata; Mammalia; Artiodactyla; Balaenopteridae
Gene: TWIST2
Gene name: twist family bHLH transcription factor 2
Exons: 3
Source: RefSeq, a predicted model, not a curated record
CCUCUCCCGGAGACCUCGGUUUUGCACAAGCCGGCCUUGAAAUCAGAGCCUUUCGAGCAGCUCGGAGAGCGUGUGCUCGGCGACCGCGGACUUGGCCAGCGGCGCGCGCUCGGCGCCCGGCGCCCCCAGCCCCACGCGCGCCGGGCGGGCGCCAUGGAGGAGGGCUCCAGCUCGCCCGUGUCCCCCGUAGACAGCCUGGGCACCAGCGAGGAGGAGCUCGAGCGGCAGCCCAAGCGCUUCGGCCGGAAACGGCGCUACAGUAAGAAGUCGAGCGAAGAUGGCAGCCCGACCCCCGGCAAGCGCGGCAAGAAGGGCAGCCCGAGCGCGCAGUCCUUCGAGGAGCUGCAGAGCCAGCGCAUCCUGGCCAACGUGCGCGAGCGCCAACGCACCCAGUCGCUCAACGAGGCCUUCGCUGCGCUGCGCAAGAUCAUCCCCACGCUGCCCUCGGACAAGCUCAGCAAGAUCCAGACGCUCAAGCUGGCCGCCAGGUACAUAGACUUCCUCUACCAGGUCCUGCAGAGCGACGAGAUGGACAAUAAGAUGACCAGCUGCAGCUACGUGGCCCACGAGCGCCUCAGCUACGCUUUCUCCGUGUGGCGCAUGGAGGGCGCGUGGUCCAUGUCCGCCUCCCACUAGCGCCGCGCCACCCACGUCCGGACCGGCGCGCCAGGUGAACUAUGAACUGGUUGAGGACAAGGGAGCAGGCCCUCCUCAUCAUUACAUGCCAACGUCCAGCAGGAUGCCUGAUGCCAGAAACCCUUCAGUUAAUAUCCUCUCGAGCUGGUGCUGCCGUCACUGGGACACUUGUGUCUUCAGAUACUCCUUUGUCAAAUGUGCAGAGACAUUUAUUCACUCGGUGCCCCCAGGUUUGGACCCGAGUGAAGGGUGUUGCGGGCAUGGAGUCGGUCGUGGGAGAGGAGGGAUUUCCGGCCCAGGGCUUAGCUGACCUGAGUUCUGCUGGUGAUUCUGUACCUGCCUGGUGACUUGGGAUAAGUCACCCCCAACCCCAGGCCCCCAUCUCCUCACCUCCGAAAUGAUGUCAUUGGAUGGACCAUCCUUAAAGGCACUUCCUGCACCUCCAGCCUGAAAUGGGGCGCCUGCAGGGUGACUGUUUACUCCACCCUCUAACACUCGGGAGUUUUACUUGGAAGCUGAAUGUAGUGACAUCUGGAGAAAUCAUAAUUCACCGGUUAAACUAGUUCCUGGGUUUGGAGGCCUGUGGACCCGGAAGAGGCUGUAUCCUCCUCGUCUCUGGUAACUCGGGACUGCUCGCCCUCACUGUCUCUGCAACGUGGGAGGACCCUUUGCAGCGUCUCGUGUCUCGUGACUCAUGGAGAAGAAAUGGGACGGUCUCCCUCCGCGGCAGGGCUGAGGAUGGGUCUGCGGGAACCCCUGGCCUUCCUGUCGCAGCUCCCCUGGGAACUGAGCAGGGCUGGCCCUGGGGAGUCUUGGGCUGCCGGGGGUGGGCUCUGCAGGGCGCUGUCUCCAGGCAGUGACAUUGGGAGGCACCAAGUAGGAGGGACCUGCCUGGACACCCAGAGGCAAGCAUGCCCCCUCCCCAGCCUGUUCUCAGGGCCACUUCCCCAUGGCAGACAGGUCACUGCAGACAUAGCCUGAGUCACUGAAGCCAAGCCCAAGCCGGGGCCGGGGGAGAGAUAGAGAGAGAGAGAGAGGGAGGGAGGGGGAGAGAGCACUGUUUCCACUUCUAAGUGGACGUGAAGUUUGCGGUCCCCUGCAGGAGCAAGGCCAACAGCUCCCCUGCAAGCCACCAGGGAACCACAGAAAAGUCCUGGCAUCAUAAACGCGGUCAUUCCAAGGAGGAUUCCUCUUUCUCACGCACGGCGGGCUGGCUGGGGUCAGAUGUCUGAGUCGCGGAGCCUGGAGAGAGGGGCCACCUGUCCCCACCCUCCUCACCCUUCCACUGACCCCAGACCCUGAACAGGGCAGGGGCCCCUGGCAGGUGGCGUCUGCAAGCAGGGGGCUUGUCUGGGACACACAGAGGGGGCAGAGAGCACAGGGGGUGUUGGUGGCUCCAGCACAGACGGGAACGGCCCCUCUGGAACCCACAGUCUGCGCCGGUGUCCGGGCAGCAGUCCUGAAAGUCACACUCGAGCUGAACGCGCAGACUGUCCCGCGGGGCCGAGCGCACGUGGAACUGGGGUGCAUCCGAGUCUGUAACUUCUGAAACCCGAAUGACCUCCGGGAAACGCCCCCUCUCAGUGCUCCAGCACGGUGCCUAGACAAGGGCACAGCGACAGACCCCGGACCGCACGGCCCCCUCCAGGAGACGGUCCCCGCAGAGGAAGUGGCGCUCAUGGUCCUUCUUGCCGGUGACAUGUUCAUUGCCAUCCUCGCCACUGUUUGAGGGUGGGAACAGACCCAGGCCUGGGUUUUAUUUUUUUAUUUUUAUGUUUUGAGGGGGCGGGGAUUUAUUCUUUCUGAAAAUCGCUAAAUUCAGGAACACAUUUUACAAGGAUUUUGGAUUUGUAUUUCCCUCUAAGUGCCUUUUUUUCGUGUAUAUUUUAAAAAAUAAGCCAGAAAUGCCUUCCUGUACAAUUCUGUUUAAACUGGACCAAGGCUCUCAGAAAAAGAACCUCGUGCUUCCUUCCCACCCCCAAGCCCCUGCAUGAUUGUCUCAAGGAAGCCUGGAAUUCUUCUCACUUCUCCCCUUUCUCUUUCUCCAUGAUUUGCUCAGCUAACCUUUUUUUUUUUUUUUCUGUUUCAGUGUAUAUGUUGCUUAUUUGUUUUAUUUAUUGAGAUACUUUUAACAAGCUCAGUGACUGCACUGUGGCUCUCUAUACUGCUCCCUCCCAGGAACAAUA